GACGAACGCUGGCGGCGUGCCUAAUACAUGCAAGUAGAACGCUGAAGGAGGAGCUUGCUUCUCUGGAUGAGUUGCGAACGGGUGAGUAACGCGUAGGUAACCUGCCUGGUAGCGGGGGAUAACUAUUGGAAACGAUAGCUAAUACCGCAUAAUAGCAGUUGUUGCAUGACAACUGUUUGAAAGGUGCAAUUGCACCACUACCAGAUGGACCUGCGUUGUAUUAGCUAGUUGGUGGGGUAACGGCUCACCAAGGCGACGAUACAUAGCCGACCUGAGAGGGUGAUCGGCCACACUGGGACUGAGACACGGCCCAGACUCCUACGGGAGGCAGCAGUAGGGAAUCUUCGGCAAUGGACGGAAGUCUGACCGAGCAACGCCGCGUGAGGGAAGAAGGUUGUCGGAUCGUAAAGCUCUGUUGUAAGAGAAGAACGAGUGUGAGAGUGGAAAGUUCACACUGUGACGGUAUCUUACCAGAAAGGGACGGCUAACUACGUG
RNAcentral lists this ribosomal RNA (495 nucleotides) under uncultured bacterium. RNAcentral describes it as "partial 16S ribosomal RNA". It matches the Rfam family "Bacterial small subunit ribosomal RNA", at positions 28 to 507 of the family's 1533-position model. The record is from RNAcentral.